RNAcentral lists this ribosomal RNA (739 nucleotides) under uncultured bacterium. Its description in RNAcentral is "bacterial SSU rRNA". It matches the Rfam family "Bacterial small subunit ribosomal RNA", at positions 66 to 827 of the family's 1533-position model. The record is from RNAcentral.
ACGGGAGAAUUGCUAGCUUGCUAUAAUUCUCUAGUGGCGCACGGGUGAGUAACACGUGAGUAACCUGCCCCCAAGAGUGGGAUAGCCCCGGGAAACUGGGAUUAAUACCGCAUAAAAUCGCAAGAUUAAAGCAGCAAUGCGCUUGGGGAUGGGCUCGCGUCCUAUUAGUUAGUUGGUGAGGUAACGGCUCACCAAGGCGAUGACGGGUAGCCGGUCUGAGAGGAUGUCCGGCCACACUGGAACUGAGACACGGUCCAGACACCUACGGGUGGCAGCAGUCGAGAAUCAUUCACAAUGGGGGAAACCCUGAUGGUGCGACGCCGCGUGGGGGAAUGAAGGUCUUCGGAUUGUAAACCCCUGUCAUGUGGGAGCAAAUUAAAAAGAUAGUACCACAAGAGGAAGAGACGGCUAACUCUGUGCCAGCAGCCGCGGUAAUACAGAGGUCUCAAGCGUUGUUCGGAAUCACUGGGCGUAAAGCGUGCGUAGGCGGUUUCGUAAGUCGUGUGUGAAAGGCGGGGGCUCAACCCCCGGACUGCACAUGAUACUGCGAGACUAGAGUAAUGGAGGGGGAACCGGAAUUCUCGGUGUAGCAGUGAAAUGCGUAGAUAUCGAGAGGAACACUCGUGGCGAAGGCGGGUUCCUGGACAUUAACUGACGCUGAGGCACGAAGGCCAGGGGAGCGAAAGGGAUUAGAUACCCCUGUAGUCCUGGCAGUAAACGGUGCACGCUUGGUGUGCGG